CAGCAGUGGAGCGGUCACAUGGUAGGAUCACAUGACCGUGACGUCAGGUCCUUUCCUAGGAUAAAAACAAGCCGCUACCCAUAGCACAGGCACUAAUGUCAAAGCACAGCUGUUACGACUUCCUGGUUGCACGCGUCCUUCCGCAGAACUCAGUAACCAUAGAGACCAGUGCGAGAAAGCACAAGAGCCAAUAACUCCCGGUGCGUAACACAGUAAUAAGUAUAACACGGGCUAUGGUUCAGUAAUAUUUGCUGAGGCAUAAAAGGCCUUUCUCCGCGUAAGAAACAACUAACUAUCCACCGCUCCUCUGUCUAUGGUAGCAAGUCCUUCCGGUUGGAGGUUUCGCAUUGGCUGCACGAGGGUGGCUCCUGUUUGACAGCAAUGGACGGGCUGCCUGAGGAUGUGCGGCUUUUCCUGCAGCAGCACCCGAGCCUGCAGCUCAUUGCCGGCAAUAAGGUGCGCUGUGUUCUGACUGGGCAUGAGCUUCCCUGCAGACUUCCCGAAUUACAAAGCUUUACCGGAGGGAAGAAGUACCAGAAAUUGACCUGCUCCUCCAGUUCUUUUGACUUCAGCAGCUAUGAACCUCACAUCGUGCCAAGUACUAAAAAUCCGAAGCAGCUGUUUUGCAAGCUGACUCUUCGUCACAUCAACAGGAUCCCAGAGCACGUCCAACGCCAUGUGCAGGGCAAACGUUAUGCCAGAGCUUUGCGGAGAUAUGAGGAGUGCAAGCGGCAGGGUUUGGAGUUCGUCCCCGCUUGUCUCCUGAACAAAAGUAAACCAAAGCAUAAGUCGGGUAGUGAACGGCCCAAAGUCAGAAGGGACGACAUGUGGGAGCCGCAAGAUAGUGAUUCAGAGGAUAGCGACUCGGCAGACAGCAUGAGUGAUUUAUAUCCAGGCUUCAGGAUACCCUUCAUUUAUUCCCGUAAUUCCCAUGAUGGCAGAACAGUUUCUUUUUGUUUUCAACCUGCCUGCAGCCCAGAUGUUUACCCAGAAAAAUCUAGAGAAGGAACAAGCUGACAGUUUUCAGUUGGAUAGUGACGAGGAGGAGAUGGAAGUUAAGCCACCGCAGAAUGCAAAUAAAAGACAGCAGAGACAGAAUGGUCCGACCAAGAAGAAAUUUAAAAAGCAACAUCGCAAAUCCAAGCAUUUCAAAAAGUCGACCACUAAAUAAACGUAUUUUUCUUUUUGUUUUGUA
RNA transcript from Xenopus laevis (African clawed frog), 1195 nucleotides. It is a transcript of the gene named surfeit 2 S homeolog, with no coding region annotated. The transcript has 6 exons. Lineage: Eukaryota; Metazoa; Chordata; Amphibia; Anura; Pipidae. The record is from RefSeq and is marked predicted.